UGAGAACUUCGAUGAGAAGGUUAGCAGUGAUGGAGGAACAGAAUAUGAUACCUUUAGACCAAUUAGAGGAGAGGCCAGUAUAGUGAUCGGAGUGAAAAUGGGAGAGGAAGUAAGAAACGGAGAAAUCAGCGGCAUAUUUGAAACCGUCGAUGAUAAAGCGAGUUCUUGGGAUGAGUUUUGGUUGGGGGAUAGAAGAAGGGAUUGGAGGGAGAGGAAGGGACAAUGGGAUUGAAUUUGAUGAGGAUUUAUCAGAGAGGGAGUUGAGAGCGGUUAUGUACAGAGUGGUUGAGUCUAGGGUUAGGGUUCCGGCGUCGGCGGACAUGGCCGCAGGGCGAAAACGAUAGUUACAGUGGUAAUUGUACGACUAGACGGAGCAUGAUCGAAACGAGUUUUACUACUUGGAAUGGCG
Molecule: unclassified non-coding RNA, 409 nt
Filed under: Hevea brasiliensis (rubber tree)
Lineage: Eukaryota; Viridiplantae; Streptophyta; Magnoliopsida; Malpighiales; Euphorbiaceae
Source: RNAcentral